CGCAAUGGGCGAAAGCCUGACGGAGCAAUACCGCGUGAGGGAUGAAAGCCUGUGGGUUGUAAACCUCUUUUCUCAAGGAAGAAACUAUGACGGUACUUGAGGAAUAAGCAUCGGCUAACUCUGUGCCAGCAGCCGCGGUAAUACAGAGGAUGCAAGCGUUAUCCGGAAUCACUGGGCAUAAAGCGUCUGUAGGUUGCACAUCAAGUCUGCUGUUAAAGACUAGGGCCUAACCCUGGGAAAGCAGUGGAAACUAGUGCGCUUGAGUGUGGUAGAGGUAGAGGGAAUUCCUGGUGUAGCGGUGAAAUGCGUAGAUAUUAGGAAGAACACCAAUGGCGAAAGCACUCUACUGGGCCAUAACUGACACUGAGAGACGACAGCUA
This 380-nucleotide ribosomal RNA is filed under the name uncultured organism. Its description in RNAcentral is "bacterial SSU rRNA". It matches the Rfam family "Bacterial small subunit ribosomal RNA", at positions 367 to 762 of the family's 1533-position model. The record is from RNAcentral.